RNAcentral lists this ribosomal RNA (1349 nucleotides) under uncultured bacterium. RNAcentral's name for it is "bacterial SSU rRNA". It matches the Rfam family "Bacterial small subunit ribosomal RNA", at positions 22 to 1366 of the family's 1533-position model. The record is from RNAcentral.
GCUCAGGAUGAACGCUAGCGGCAGGCCUAACACAUGCAAGUCGAGGGGCAGCGAGGGGUAGCAAUACUCUGUCGGCGACCGGCAGAAGGGUGCGUAACGCGUGAGCAACUUGCCCGUCACAGGGGGAUAACCGGUGGAAACGCCGCCUAACACCCCGUAACACUUGGUGAGACAUCUUACUAAGUUGAAAAUCUUAGGAUGGUGACGGAUGGGCUCGCGUGACAUUAGAUAGAUGGUGGGGCAACGGCUCACCAUGUCGACGAUGUCUAGGGGUUCUGAGAGGAAGAUCCCCCACACUGGGACUGAGACACGGCCCAGACUCCUACGGGAGGCAGCAGUGAGGAAUAUUGGACAAUGGAGGGAACUCUGAUCCAGCCAUGCCGCGUGAAGGACUAAGGCCCUAUGGGUCGUAAACUUCUUUUUAUUGGGAGCAAUAAGGACUACGCGUAGUUCGAUGAGAGUACCAGUAGAAUAAGCAUCGGCUAACUCCGUGCCAGCAGCCGCGGUAAUACGGAGGAUGCGAGCGUUAUCCGGAUUUAUUGGGUUUAAAGGGUGCGUAGGCGGUUAUGUAAGCCAGCGGUGAAAUACCCACGCUCAACGUGGGGGCUGCCGUUGGAACUGUGUAACUAGAAUGCGGAUGACGUGGGAGGAAUGAGUGGUGUAGCGGGUGAAAUGCAUAGAUAUCACUCAAAACAUCGAUUGCGAAGGCAUCUCACGAAUCCGUUAUUUGACGCUGAGGGCACGAAAGCGCGGGUAGCGAACAGGAUUAGAUACCCUGGUAGUCCGCGCAGUAAACGAUGAUGGCUAACCGCCGGCGAUACACAGUCGGUGGCCAAGCGAAAGCGAUAAGCCAUCCACCUGGGGAGUACGACCGCAAGGUUGAAACUCAAAGGAAUUGACGGGGGCCCGCACAAGCGGAGGAACAUGUGGUUUAAUUCGAUGAUACGCGAGGAACCUUACCCGGGCUCGAACGGCAGAUGAAUACUUAAGAGAUUGAGUAGUCUUCGGACAUCUGUCGAGGUGCUGCAUGGUUGUCGUCAGCUCGUGCCGUGAGGUGUCGGCUUAAGUGCCAUAACGAGCGCAACCCUUGCCGCCAGUUGCCAGCAUGUAAUGAUGGGGACUCUGGGGGGACUGCCACCGCAAGGUGAGAGGAAGGGGGGGAUGACGUCAAAUCAGCACGGCCCCUACGUCCGGGGCGACACACGUGUUACAAUGGCAGGUACAGAGGGAAGCGACCUCGCGAGGGGGAGCAAAGCUCGAAAGCCUGUCUCAGUUCGGACUGGAGUCUGCAACCCGACUCCACGAAGCUGGAUUCAAAAGUAAUCGCGCAUCAGCCAUGGCGCGGUGAA